CUAAAUUUUAAACUUUAAUUCUAAACUGUAAACCCUAAACUCUAAACCUAAAAUUAUAAACCUAAUGUCAGCGUUAAUGUUAGCGUCAUUCCUUUAAGGUUUAAGGUUUAUAUGGUUUAAGGUUUAAGUCUUAGUGUUUAGGGUUUAGGGUUUAAGUUUUCGGAGUUUAGAGUUUAGGGUUUAUGUUUUAGUUUUAAGGGUUUAGUGUUAAGGAUUUUACUGACGGCUACGUAGGUGUCGUUCCUUUUUUCAGCUAUUUUUUAAAAAAUUUAAUUAUGUUUUAUUAAUCAUACGUGAUACUUCGAUUGGGUAAUAAGAUAUGAAGUGAAUUUGACCGUUCAGCGUAGGGGGAGCACAAGUAUUGUUCGUCAACGAAUACAGAUGACAUAAUCUGGCCCAUAUUUAAUAUUUUGGGACGAAACGAACCACAUCCGCCACGCAAAUAAUAUGUAACCUCUCCAGUCAAAAUCGAAUAAUGAGACAUCGUCAACUUAAAAGACGACUUGACUUUUGUUUUAUUCUGACUGACCCGCGACUAUUAAAAGAGAGCUCUAUGGACCGAAAAAGAGAUGGGCUUUUCUCCAAAGAAUUAAGAGACAUAAAAUUAGUGACCCUGAUUUAAAUUAUAGCGACCCCUAAACGAUAUAUUGAAUAAACACUUUGAAUUCACUAUUCAACAUGUGGCGGUCUGAGGAAACAAAUCAGGAAUCUUUUUACGCGAUAAAAGUAUUUCGAAAAUGGGAGACCUAUCAGGCCAACUCCUAAAGAGAGGGAACGACGACACAACAUCCAUCACAAAGAAAAAAAUACCUCUCGAGAUCCUUUUUCCCUCAAGCUACUCCAAAAGUGAUAAAACUCUAGCUCCGGCCUACCGCUUUGGCGGCGCCAGAGACUUCAUUCCUCUUUUCCCUAUCUUGUUUUUCUUUGCUUUACUCCUCCCAUCUCAAACCUUGUUGAUAUGUUUUCUUCUUUGAGUCAUCGGAUUCUCUCCCGGAGCUGUGCUUGAGGGAGACGACCACUGACCUUGUUUGGAGAGACGACGAGACUGUGGUGUGGCUGUGGAGUGGAGAGUCACCUUUUUAGGACCGAGGGUCAGGUCAGAUCUAAUUUUCUCCUUCUCAGAUCUUGGCCAAGACCUUCUCAACGGUGGCGCGUGAAGUGGGUUAGACGAAUCCUCUAUCCUGGAUGAACUCCCUGUUAUGGCGUUGAGAUGGGGUGAAUAGAGGUACGACGAGUUGUGUUAGAGGGUGAAUCCCUCGAAGCUUUGAACAAAGAUCCGCUCAUAUCACCAUCGUUGGGGUCCGUCUUUCAAUCCAAAUUCUUGUCCGGUUUUGGCCACAGAGAGAGACAAAGAUUGACGGCAGUAUGAAUCGAACCCGGAGCUUUCUGCAGUUUUGGACCUUCUGUCCGUUCGUGGCUGAAGACCGGAGCAGAAAACACCAGUGGAUAAAGCCUUUCUCGGGGUACAAAUACUAAAUGACAAAGAGCAGCUAACGGUCUAACAAUGACCUGUCUUAACAGCUGGAAAGGGGUACCAAUACUAAAUGACAAAGAGCAGCUAACGGUCUAACAAUGACCUGUCUUAACAGCUGGAAAGGUAAAGUGAAAGCUAAAAGCAGAAAUGAGAUAAGCAUCUUGCUUGGAUAUUCUUUUGUGAUAAGGAUGUCAUGGAUGACUCAUCCUAUGACAGACAACAUCAUAAAUCACAAACCCCACUACGCGGAGUCCAUCGCUCACAACGGCAAGUUACUUUUGGUAUCAUAACAUAUUUUAAAUUUUUAGUUUUUGUUUUCAUGAAUUUUUAAGAUAUAUUUGGAGUUUUGGAUAUAUUUUGACAGUAUUAUAUUUAAAUUUCUGGUUAUUCGAGUAUAUUUUUGCCCUUUGGUA
Brassica napus (rape) is the source of this 1887-nucleotide long non-coding RNA. RefSeq lists it as uncharacterized. NCBI's taxonomy places the organism in Eukaryota, Viridiplantae, Streptophyta, Magnoliopsida, Brassicales, Brassicaceae. The record is from RefSeq and is a predicted model, not a curated record. The transcript is spliced from 4 exons.